CGCCUUGCCAGCCCGCUCAGAAACUCAAAGGAAUUGACGGGGGCCCGCACAAGCGGUGGAGCAUGUGGUUUAAUUCGAUGGUACGCGAGAAACCUUACCAGGGCUUGACAUACACCGGAAGCGCCGUGAAAGCGGCGUGCCGCUUGCGGCCGGUGAACAGGUGCUGCAUGGCUGUCGUCAGCUCGUGCUGUGAAGUGUUGGGUUAAGUCCCGCAACGAGCGCAACCCUUGUCCUUAGUUACCAGCACGUUAUGGUGGGCACUCUAAGGAGACUGCCGGUGACAAACCGGAGGAAGGUGGGGAUGACGUCAAGUCAUCAUGGCCCUUACGGCCUGGGCUACACACGUGCUACAAUGGUCGGUACAAAGGGUUGCCAAGCCGCGAGGUGGAGCUAAUCCCAUAAAACCGAUCGUAGUCCGGAUCGCAGUCUGCAACUCGACUGCGUGAAGUCGGAAUCGCUAGUAAUCGUGAAUCAGAAUGUCACGGUGAAUACGUUCCCGGGCCUU
Molecule: ribosomal RNA, 505 nt
Filed under: uncultured Pseudomonas sp.
Lineage: Bacteria; Pseudomonadati; Pseudomonadota; Gammaproteobacteria; Pseudomonadales; Pseudomonadaceae
Description: bacterial SSU rRNA
Rfam family: Bacterial small subunit ribosomal RNA
Source: RNAcentral